RNAcentral lists this ribosomal RNA (274 nucleotides) under uncultured bacterium. RNAcentral describes it as "partial 16S ribosomal RNA". It matches the Rfam family "Bacterial small subunit ribosomal RNA", at positions 523 to 796 of the family's 1533-position model. The record is from RNAcentral.
AUACGGAGGGUGCAAACGUUGUUCGGAAUCACUGGGCGUAAAGGGCGCGCAGGCGGUUUGAUUAGUCAGAUGUGAAAGCCCAUGGCUCAACCAUGGAAGUGCAUUUGAAACUGUCAGACUUGAGUACUAGAGGGGAAAGUGGAAUUCCCGGUGUAGAGGUGAAAUUCGUAGAUAUCGGGAGGAAUACCGGUGGCGAAGGCGACUUUCUGGCUAGAUACUGACGCUGAGGCGCGAAAGCGUGGGGAGCAAACAGGAUUAGAAACCCCAGUAGUCC